Molecule: ribosomal RNA, 497 nt
Filed under: uncultured bacterium
Lineage: Bacteria
Description: partial 16S ribosomal RNA
Rfam family: Bacterial small subunit ribosomal RNA
Source: RNAcentral
GAUGAACGCUGGCGGCGUGCCUAAUACAUGCAAGUCGAGCGAACAGACGAGGAGCUUGCUCCUCUGACGUUAGCGGCGGACGGGUGAGUAACACGUGGAUAACCUACCUAUAAGACUGGGAUAACUUCGGGAAACCGGAGCUAAUACCGGAUAAUAUAUUGAACCGCAUGGUUCAAUAGUGAAAGACGGUUUUGCUGUCACUUAUAGAUGGAUACGCGCCGCAUUAGCUAGUUGGUAAGGUAACGGCUUACCAAGGCAACGAUGCGUAGCCGACCUGAGAGGGUGAUCGGCCACACUGGAACUGAGACACGGUCCAGACUCCGACGGGAGGCAGCAGUAGGGAAUCUUCCGCAAUGGGCGAAAGCCUGACGGAGCAACGCCGCGUGAGUGAUGAAGGUCUUCGGAUCGUAAAACUCUGUUAUUAGGGAAGAACAAAUGUGUAAGUAACUAUGCACGUCUUGACGGUACCUAAUCAGAAAGCCACGGCUAACUACGUG